AGCAUGUUCGCGUCACGAGGUGAACACAUUCAUUCCGGUGCGGCCGUGAAUGGGUGACCAAGUUGAAUUGCUUUGAUCAGAGUUCAUUCGCUUUGACCAAAGGCUGCCGACUGAGUCCCAACCC
Syngnathus typhle (broad-nosed pipefish) is the source of this 124-nucleotide long non-coding RNA. RefSeq lists it as uncharacterized. NCBI's taxonomy places the organism in Eukaryota, Metazoa, Chordata, Actinopteri, Syngnathiformes, Syngnathidae. The record is from RefSeq and is a predicted model, not a curated record. The transcript is spliced from 4 exons.